CUCUCCCAGGUGCGCUUCCCUGCUUGAUCUGUGUACCCUGCUCUUUCUCCUUCAUUCCGCAGCCUCCUUUGCCCUGUGACCUGCAGGUACUGGACGGUCCCUAGAGAGGAUACCGGGACGCUCCUGAAGCCGCGAGAUGAUUUCAAGCAGAUGCAGCCUGACCAUUAGGGCCAAGGCCAAAUUGCAAAAAAAAAAAGAAGUUUGCCUUUAUUCUACUCCAUCCACAUCUAAACUUUGGAGGUCAAGGCUGUGGACAGAUCAGAAGACAUAGUUCCCUCCUUCUGGGGCUCCACAUCCUUCAUUCACUGAUCUCUGGGAAGGAGGAUGGGUGGCAGGAUGGGUCUUCCAUGAUACUGAAGGGAGAGCCACAUGUUGAUGCCCAGGACCAGCUGCCUCCUUGGUCUGAAAGGCCUGAUCGAGGCCAGGAUUGGCUAUGAGAGCUGGGAAAUGGGACCAUCUUUGAAGCCAUGGGAGAGGGUGAGAGCCACCAUCACUCAUGUUCUUGAAUGGGAACUGCCUGGAGACCCUGAAGAAGAAGGAGCCUGAAGGAGGAAGGAGGAGGCUGAGCCAUCCCGGGAACAUGGGCUGGAUGAGGCCAAGCCAGGAGACGACACCACCAGAUAGAAGUCACCAUUCAGGAUUUGGACUUUUCUGUGGAGAUCCUGGCCCCGAGAUCGAACCCUUCUCCCUGUGGGUGUUCCCGCAGGAGAUGGUGCUGGAGAUCCACCAGCUGUUCAUGGACCAUGAAUACCCAUGUCACCACAUCACUUCUCACUGCACCUGGGUGGCAGCACACUGGACCACGUCUCAGAGCUGCGCAGCAUGGCAGGGCUGCAGGCGGGCUUGCUGCUCCACGUGGUGGAAGAGCCCUGCACAAUGCACAAGGCCCACGGUGAUGAGUGCCACAUUUGAGACUGCUCAGGAGCCUGGACCCAGCUGAUGCAGCUCCUUGUCCUUCCUGAGCGUCUUCACUGACAGUGGCCUGAGAGCCCCUGAAAGUGCUCACCGUGAGCGGCUGGUACCUGUCCCCUGGGAACUGCAAGAUGCACAGGACCUUGUGUACCUGUUUGUGAUCACAGCCGAGGACCAGCGAGGUAGCAUUACCACAUCCACACAGGGCUUUUACCAUAACUGCCCCAGUACUGGAACGAGGAGCUGCAGAUGAUGAGGGACCUACCCAACAAGAACCAACCUGAGCAGCUGCUUCAAGAAAAAGCCAUGUUCAAGGUGCCUGAAUCCCCUGGUAAGUGAGUGACAGCCUCACAGCCUCAGGCCCACCUGGCUCCUGCUGGAAGGUUUUCUUGUGCUCGGGAGAGAAGUGAGGGAAGCCGGCAGUCCCAGCCCUGUCAGGUGCCCUGAAGGCCCGUCAGGUUUGCCCUGCAAGGCCUUCUAGCAUUCUGCUUCCUGGGAGACCAUCCCCCACCUUUCUCCGGCCUCUGAGACUUUGAGUCCUUGGGAGGAGAAGGCCCUCCUUGCUAUCUGGGCUGAGUGGCCAGGGCCAUCCAGCUUCCCACCCUCCACUGACUGCCAUGGGGCCCUCCCCUGAGCACAUGGUGCCCAACUGUAGCCCUUCUAGGGCAGGGGCUCAUUGGCAGCACUUGCAGCUUGCUGGCACUUAAAAGUCAUUAGUGCGGUUACUGAGAGAAAUGAGGAAAAAAUAAUUGUUAAAAAAAAAAAAAAA
Long non-coding RNA from Homo sapiens (human), 1681 nucleotides. NCBI's taxonomy places the organism in Eukaryota, Metazoa, Chordata, Mammalia, Primates, Hominidae. The record is from Ensembl.